AGAGGUAGUAUAUAAAUUACAAUUUGCUUACACCAAGUAAAAGGCCCAUAACCCCUUUGAA
Molecule: transfer RNA, 61 nt
Filed under: Lamprotula caveata
Lineage: Eukaryota; Metazoa; Mollusca; Bivalvia; Unionida; Unionidae
Also listed under: 1 other name
Description: tRNA-Val
Source: RNAcentral